Molecule: long non-coding RNA, 780 nt
Organism: Oncorhynchus masou masou (cherry salmon)
Lineage: Eukaryota; Metazoa; Chordata; Actinopteri; Salmoniformes; Salmonidae
Exons: 5
Source: RefSeq, a predicted model, not a curated record
AGCUAUGACUACACCCUCAACAAUCGGCCUUUCAGACAAGGUGCCUAUUCAUGAAGGGACGACAAUUACAACAUUAUAUCCUGUUAGACUAGUUUGUUGCUUUUCUUAUACUCGCUACAUCGUCUUGUGUUUGUUUGAGAGCUCUGUAGUCACAUGGUAUAUUAAUAUCAUUCUGUUGGAGACAUCUGUAGUCACAUGGUAUAUUAACGUCUUUCUGGAGCAUUAGAGGGGCGUGUCCUUACAGGUGUUUGCCUGGUGUUGUCUCGACAACUGGCACAAGGUAAUUUGAGAUAAUACAACGUUUCGAUUCUUUGAGGGAAGAGACCCAGAAGGGAGGGAGGGUGACCUCACUACGGCACCAGUCUAGAGUGUGUGUAGACUACAUGUGAUGGUUCACCUGAUAGAGAGAAGGACUGGAGCAUACAGCAAUACGAAUAUUAGCGUGGAGUGAUAACAUUACUUGUUGUGAGAGUCUCCUUUACUUGUGAGAGUCUCCUUUACUUGUGAGAGCUGAGCUGAGCUGAGAUGGACGUGCGUCUGACCAGUCCCACUGAGGAAAACCCAGAGGAGUAUCAGCAAAGGAUCAUGGGAGAUAGAAUCCGGAGACAAGCGCUGACUUCCUACAAAGAGGAUCUGGUCAGAGCUGCACAGAGUACUCCUGUGUUUCAGAGACCUACAGUGGCAGAGAUGGAACGAGAAAGAGGAAGAACUCUGAAGAUUCUGUUCCUGUUGACACUCUGUCUACAAGCCUUCCCUGGUCAAUGCCAAGAUUCAGGGCAG